This 72-nucleotide microRNA precursor is filed under the name Choloepus hoffmanni (Hoffmann's two-fingered sloth). RNAcentral describes it as "miRNA (ENSCHOG00000015156.1)". The record is from RNAcentral. Lineage: Eukaryota; Metazoa; Chordata; Mammalia; Pilosa; Megalonychidae.
GGGGCAGGCGUGUGUGCGCACAUGUGUGUGUGUGUGUGUGUGUGUGUGUGUGGAGGGAUGCACUGGAUGCAC